AUUCCCUUCAGGAUGUCUGAUAAAAUUGGAGCGAUACAGAGAAGAUAAGCAUGGCUCCAGAGCAAAGAUGACACGCAAAAGUUGAAAAUUAGUCCAUUCCACU
Molecule: small nuclear RNA, 103 nt
Organism: Lycium barbarum (goji berry)
Lineage: Eukaryota; Viridiplantae; Streptophyta; Magnoliopsida; Solanales; Solanaceae
Source: RefSeq, a predicted model, not a curated record